AGAAACAUGCUAUAGCAUAGUGUAUAUAUAUAUCAACUUUCAUACCUGUCGAAUUUGUCAGUGUAGUUUACAGUGGCUCCCAGAGUUAAAUGUGGAUUACUGGGAGGAUGGGCAUGCUAGGACAGGGAGCAGGUUUUAGUGGGGAAAGAGGUUCAUGUUGAGUUUUAAUUUUAAGUAGGACAUACAGAGAAAGGGCAAGCAACAGUAGAUAGUUGGAAAUUCAAAAUUUGGGCUUGGGGAAAACAAAAACACCAUUUUCCUUUCCAGUAAAAAUUUCUUUCAUCAUGGAAUAUAUAAUUAAACAGUUGUUACUUCAUAACUGAUUGGUGUAUGUGUUAGCCUUAGGACAAAGGUAUGAGGGUUGAUAUAGCAAGCUUCUUAUAGUUUUUUCCACAUUGUGCACAUUUAAAAAUUUGGUACAGGAGAGUUUCUCUUGAACUUAAAAAUGUAACCAAGGUACAAUAAUUUGAUUUUUUGUCCUAGAAUUUUCAAACUUUAUAUUCUUACAUAACCCCUCACCUGAACUUGGAAAAGGCUUUUCUCUGCCUAACUCACUAAUAAUACACACUUGUGGGCAUUAAUGUACUUUAGGUAUUUGAUAGACAUUUUAAAAUACUUCCUUUUUUUUUCACUUUACAGUCCUUGUAGUGCAGACUUGAACCAUGUCUGACAUUGGUAUGUUAAGAAUCUAAAAUUUUCUAAAAGUCUUAACUAACAUUUGAAAAGAAAUGUUUAAACAAAUGUUUCUCUCUCUAGCCACUAGUACAUUGUCAGUCUCUGAGAGAUAACCAUCUUCCUUUCCUUUCAUUAAACUUAAAAAAUCUGUCUCAAUGUCUGUUAUUUCUCUCCCCCCUCUAAAAUAUUGAAUGUCUGGUCGGUUACCUCAAGUCAUUUUUUGUUCAGAUUAUUAAGAUUACCUUCCCCAUCUUUUCACAUUACCACGGUGCAGCAGGCCCACUUCAAAAAUCCGGCACAAAUUUGAUUUACUCAAGAACAGCCAAUAUGCAAAAUUGUCCGUUAUGUUCAACAGAUAUUAAAUGUCCAUGCUGGUAGGUAAAUGUGUCUGUCAGGCACU
RNAcentral lists this long non-coding RNA (1075 nucleotides) under Bos taurus (domestic cattle). RNAcentral's name for it is "long non-coding RNA NONBTAT013635". Lineage: Eukaryota; Metazoa; Chordata; Mammalia; Artiodactyla; Bovidae. The record is from RNAcentral.